RNAcentral lists this ribosomal RNA (694 nucleotides) under Enterobacter asburiae. RNAcentral's name for it is "bacterial SSU rRNA". It matches the Rfam family "Bacterial small subunit ribosomal RNA", at positions 781 to 1474 of the family's 1533-position model. The record is from RNAcentral. Lineage: Bacteria; Pseudomonadati; Pseudomonadota; Gammaproteobacteria; Enterobacterales; Enterobacteriaceae.
GAUACCCUGGUAGUCCACGCCGUAAACGAUGUCGACUUGGAGGUUGUGCCCUUGAGGCGUGGCUUCCGGAGCUAACGCGUUAAGUCGACCGCCUGGGGAGUACGGCCGCAAGGUUAAAACUCAAAUGAAUUGACGGGGGCCCGCACAAGCGGUGGAGCAUGUGGUUUAAUUCGAUGCAACGCGAAGAACCUUACCUACUCUUGACAUCCAGAGAACUUUCCAGAGAUGGAUUGGUGCCUUCGGGAACUCUGAGACAGGUGCUGCAUGGCUGUCGUCAGCUCGUGUUGUGAAAUGUUGGGUUAAGUCCCGCAACGAGCGCAACCCUUAUCCUUUGUUGCCAGCGGUCAGGCCGGGAACUCAAAGGAGACUGCCAGUGAUAAACUGGAGGAAGGUGGGGAUGACGUCAAGUCAUCAUGGCCCUUACGAGUAGGGCUACACACGUGCUACAAUGGCGCAUACAAAGAGAAGCGACCUCGCGAGAGCAAGCGGACCUCAUAAAGUGCGUCGUAGUCCGGAUUGGAGUCUGCAACUCGACUCCAUGAAGUCGGAAUCGCUAGUAAUCGUAGAUCAGAAUGCUACGGUGAAUACGUUCCCGGGCCUUGUACACACCGCCCGUCACACCAUGGGGAGUGGGUUGCAAAAGAAGUAGGUAGCUUAACCUUCGGGAGGGCGCUUACCACUUUGUGAUUCAUGA